UCCAAGAAGACCAUCAGCAAGCCAACGCCAUUGGGAGGUACAACAACCAGCCUAGAUAUGAUCCAUACUCCACUACAUACAAUCCAGGUUGGAAAGAUCACCCCAAUUUUAACUAUGGAAAGAGCAACAGUGAUCAGAACUACCAAAGUUACCAAAGAAAUCAAGCCCAACCAGCACCUUCAACUCCAAGUCAGAACCUUGAGAAGAUCAUGCAAACAAUGAUGGAAACAAUGGUGAGCACCAUGCAAGGCGUGCGACAAGACCUAGGCCAAAUGACCACAUCUAUGCAAGGCGUGCGACAGGACCUAAGCCAAAUGGCCACCUCUAUAGGCCAACUGCAAUCCCAAGGUAAGCUCCCUUCUCAAACUGAAACCAACCCCAGACAGAAUGUUAGUGCUAUUACUUUGAGAAGUGGCAAAGAGCUUCAAGAUACUAAUCAUGAGCAAGAAAAAGAACCAAAGCCACCUGAAGCCUCUCCAUCGCAAUCCGCAGCCCCUCCUGCGCAAAAGACUGACCCAAAGGUAAGCUUUCACAUUCCACCUCCUUUUCCCAAGAGAUUUGAAAGAACACAAAAAGAAAAGGAAGAAAAGGAGAUCCUUGACACUUUCAGAAAAGUACAAAUCAAUAUACCUCUGCUAGAUGCUGUUAAGCAGAUUCCCAGGUACGCUAAGUUUCUGAAAGAACUUUGCACUAAUAGGAGAAAGCUUGCAGAGAGAGAAAAAGUAAGUGUAGGUGAGGUUGUGACUGCUGUUAUUAAAAGAGAACUCCCUACCAAAUGCAAGGACAAAGGUAUGUUCGCUAUCUCUUGUAAAAUUGGGAAUGUUGGUAUAAGGAAAGC
Molecule: long non-coding RNA, 838 nt
Filed under: Manihot esculenta (cassava)
Lineage: Eukaryota; Viridiplantae; Streptophyta; Magnoliopsida; Malpighiales; Euphorbiaceae
Description: long non-coding RNA (MESC_LNC004077)
Source: RNAcentral